CCUACGGGGUGCUGCAGUGGGGAAUAUUGGACAAUGGGCGAAAGCCUGAUCCAGCCAUGCCGCGUGUGUGAAGAAGGCCUUCGGGUUGUAAAGCACUUUCAGUGGGGAAGAAAGCCUUGGGGCUAAUACCCUCGAGGAAGGACAUCACCCACAGAAGAGGCACCGGCUAACUCCGUGCCAGCAGCCGCGGUAAUACGGAGGGUGCGAGCGUUAAUCGGAAUUACUGGGCGUAAAGCGCGCGUAGGCGGUCUGAUAAGCCGGUUGUGAAAGCCCCGGGCUCAACCUGGGAACGGCAUCCGGAACUGUCAGGCUAGAGUGCAGGAGAGGAAGGUAGAAUUCCCGGUGUAGCGGUGAAAUGCGUAGAGAUCGGGAGGAAUACCAGUGGCGAAGGCGGCCUUCUGGACUGACACUGACGCUGAGGUGCGAAAGCGUGGGUAGCAAACAGGAUUAGAUACCCUGGUAGUC
This 465-nucleotide ribosomal RNA is filed under the name Vreelandella stevensii. Its description in RNAcentral is "partial 16S ribosomal RNA". It matches the Rfam family "Bacterial small subunit ribosomal RNA", at positions 338 to 795 of the family's 1533-position model. The record is from RNAcentral. Lineage: Bacteria; Pseudomonadati; Pseudomonadota; Gammaproteobacteria; Oceanospirillales; Halomonadaceae.